RNA transcript from Ipomoea triloba (trilobed morning glory), 3767 nucleotides. It is a transcript of the gene named disease resistance protein RPP13-like, with no coding region annotated. The record is from RefSeq and is a predicted model, not a curated record. NCBI's taxonomy places the organism in Eukaryota, Viridiplantae, Streptophyta, Magnoliopsida, Solanales, Convolvulaceae. The transcript is spliced from 3 exons.
UAAACAUUUCAUUCGCUGUGUUCGAUCGAUCAAUCUUCCUUCAAUAUAAUGGCUAUUUCUCUUGUCACUUUACUAAAUACAAUACACUUCCAUUUUCUACAACCUCUUCCUUGUUUGAGUGUUGAUGAUACAGAAAGAAUAAUGAUCGAAUCUUUGUGUAAGAAGCUCCGGUGUUUGCAAGCCUUUUUGGAGCAUUCUGAGAAGAACAACAUCAACUGCCCGGCAUGGAUAGGCUUGGAGACAGAGAUCAGAGAUGUAGCUGCUGAAGCAGAGACCAAAAUUGACAACAUCAACUGUCCCUCAGCGUCCCACCCAAAGAAGUGCCUACAAUUCAGUGAGAGAUUUAGUUACUGGAUUCAAUCGUUGAAAUCCUUGGUACACCCAAAAAAAAAAUACAUCAACUGCCCGGCAUGGAGAGGCUUGGAGACAGAGAUCAGAGAUGUAGCUGCUGAAGUGGAGAGCAAAAUUGAAUUACAAUUAUAUCAACUCUACAACGAGGAAGAUGCCCCUGUUGAGCCUUGUGAGAGUCUUCAUCAGACCUUGCAACAAGUAAUGGGAGACAUUGAAUCACUUGAACGGAGGAUUCAGCAGAUUGAGAGCAAUCGCAAUCACUCUGUAGAGCCGCCAAGAAGAAACGCAGCAAUACAGAAUAUCAAAGCUGAUAGCUCCUCCAAACGUUGUACAGAGCCCGAGAAUGUAAUGGUAGGAUGUGACGAUGAGUUUGAAACCAUCAAGAACAAGCUCAUUUCAGAUUCAAAUAACCUGGAAGUCAUCUCAAUCACAGGGAUGGGAGGCAUCGGCAAGACUACUUUAGCUCAAAGAGUCUACAAUGAUGAAGCUGCAAUUGCUUCUUAUUUUGACAUUCGAGCAUGGACUACUGUAUCUCAACAACACAAUCUUAGAGAAAUGCUCCGUGACCUUCUCGGUUCUAAUGACAACAACCCAGAUGUCUCUUAUCUGGCAAGUCAACUACGCCAAAGGUUGUUGGGUCACAGGUAUCUCAUUGUUAUAGAUGAUAUAUGGAGCACUCAAGCAUGGGAUGGCAUUCAUAGAUGUUUCCCAAAAGAUUUCAAUGGGAGUCGAAUAUUGCUGACUACACGGCUCAAACAGGUGGCUGGCUAUGUUAGUUCUGGUAACAAUCUUUAUUCCAUGCGAUUCUUAAAUUUCAAUGAAAGUUGGAAUUUAUUUUACAAGAAAGUAUUUGUAGAAAAAAAAUUCCCUCUUGAAUUUGAGAAAAUUGGUAGAGAUGUUGUUAAAAAAUGUCAAGGAUUACCUCUAACAAUUAUAGUGGUUGCUGGGCUUCUUUCUUCCUCAUCCAACAAGCCAUCACCAAAUCAGUGGGAGAAUGUUGUUGCAAAUUUGGAUCUGUUGCUUGACACUGAUCCCGAAAAGAAAUGUUCAAAAAUGCUCUCACUAAGUUACAACCACUUGCCUCUGCAUUUGAAAGUUUGUUUUUUAUAUUUUGGGGUUUUCCCAGAAGAUAGUAUUAUUAAAGUGAAAAAGUUGAUUAGGCUAUGGAUUGCUGAGGGAUUCUUAAAGUUAGAGUUGAAUAAGGCCACGGAAGAAGUGGCAUAUGCUUACUUACAGGAUCUUGUGGACAGAGGUCUAGUUCAAAUUGAUAAGUUGAGUAGUUUUGACAACAAAAUAAAGUAUUGUAAGGUCCAUGAUGUGCUGCAUAGCUUUAGCUUGAGAGAGGCUGAGAGGGAGAAGCUUUUGUGUGUUAUAAAUGAGAAUAAUAAUGUGCAUGAGCUUGAGCUUGGUGUUGGAUUAGCAACAAGCAGCUUGGACCGAAAAGCUUGCCGUCGGGUCGUCAGUUAUCAAUUAAGCCAUAUAGAUGCUGAGCCAAUUACUCAAAUUAGUCGAUCCCAUGAAUUGCGUUCUUUUCUACAUCUUCCUCGUCAUUCUAUUGUCGGUGUUUCCUGCAACAAUUCCAGAAUACUUCCCUAUUCUAAACUGCUAAGGGUGUUGAACAUGAGUCUAUGUUAUCUAAAUCACCUGCCAAGGGAAAUAGUGGAUCUUGUUCAUUUGAGAUACUUGGCCCUAUCCAUUGACAAGAGGGCGUGUUUUAAUGGUUACCAAUUGUGUAAGCAAUUGUGUAAGCUUCGAUGUUUGCAGACUAUCAUCAUUACUAAUGAGCCUUGGCAUUCUUUUUCACCAAAUAAUAUUUUGGGUAUGCCACAAAUAAGGCAUGUUCACUUCUCCCCCAGGACUCUUUAUUACCACCAUCUCCCAAAGUUGGUUCAAGGAAAUCUACAAACUCUAUCUUGGUUGAGUCUACCUCAACGCUUGCAAACUGAGCCAGACUUCAAAGUGAUUCCAAACGUGAAGGAACUUGGGAUUCACUUAAUGGGAUUCACUUGGGAUUUACAACCACAUAUUUCAAUGGAAGGUCUUCUCAAUUUGCAUCAGCUAGAGAACUUAAAAUUUGAAAGAGAUGGAGGUUGUCUGAAAUGUGACAGCAAAGUUCUAAAAGCUUUUCCAUCAAAUCUCAAGAAGUUGACCCUCAUAAGAACAAAUUUUUCAUGGGAGGAUAUGGCCAUUAUUAGCACAUUGCCUAACCUUGAGGUUCUAAAACUGAGAGAGGAUGCUUUCUGUGGUCCAGAGUGGAAAGCAACAGGAAAUGGCUUCUGCAAAUUAAAGUAUUUGGAAGUUAAUAGACUUUUAAGUCUCAAGCAUUGGAGUGUGGAUGCUGAUCAUUUCCCCAUUCUUGAAUGCAUAUUUCUUUAUCUCUGUCCUGAUUUGGUGGAAUUUCCAACUGGUUUUGGUGAGAUUAACACAUUGCGGUUAAUUGAUUUAAAGCGUUGUCACUUGAGCCUUGUGACUUCUGCUAAAAAAUUGCAAGAAGAGCGGCGGGAUCUUGGAGACGAUAGACUUGUUCUCCGUGAAUUUUAUACAUACCGUCUCAUAGGCACACACUAUGAAGCAAUUGGUUCUGAAGUCGGAGCAGUCAAUUAGGACAAUUGGUGGAUAUCCUGGGAGGUAAUGCACCUUUCUAUGAUCAGUUUAUUUGUGAUGAAAAAUUGUGAAGAUAACCCAAAACUUAGAUGUAAUUACCGCUGAAAUUACAAGAGACCAAAGUUUAGUGCUUCGUUCUCUUUGCUGAUGUUCUGAAUUUGUUUAGAAGCAUUAUGAUUGUGUUUGGGUACUUGAAAUUAAUGAAAAGAUUUUCAACUUUUUAGGUUGUAGUAAUUAGAUUUGAUGGCUAAGAGAUCAUUCAAGCAACAACAUGAACUUGGUGUUAAUUUUCUGAGUGGAAUAAUUUCAGAGAAGAGGCUGGCCGGAUUAGGGAAAAAAAUCUGGAGAGAAUUAUAGUCGAGGACUUUGUAUCUGGCGGAAGAAUUUUUCACUCCUUAUAAUCCAAAGUUGCAAUGUUCUUCAGUUGGAAAAUGGAAAGGAACAACAAAUUUACACUAAUCUAACCUAUUCUAAGCUAACCCUAACUAGAGAAAGAUAGGGAAAAUGAAAGAUGUCUUUUUCGGUGGAAGAAAUCCUCUUUAAAGGGGUCAAAAUGGUGCUGUCAAAAGUUGUAGAGGUUGGCCACGGGUGUGGGCACAUGUGUAGCUAUACUCGUGCCCAGAAUUGAAGGCACACUGCCUUGUGGCCACGCCAGUGGCCACCAAAUAAGCAGUGUUCCUGUGCACAUUGUCCAUCUUCUAAACUAUUUUCACCCCUAAAUCCUUUGAGUUCGUGUUUAUGAUCUUCAUCGAUCAAAGUUGUAGUCCUUCAAAUUAGCUUUUCAAUGACAUAAAAAUAACUUGAUUUGGAUA